Molecule: long non-coding RNA, 625 nt
Organism: Scophthalmus maximus (turbot)
Lineage: Eukaryota; Metazoa; Chordata; Actinopteri; Pleuronectiformes; Scophthalmidae
Exons: 4
Source: RefSeq, a predicted model, not a curated record
GAAGUCAGGCCGCUCGCCGUUGAAAUGGAUUUGUCUGUCAACUAAUGAACUGAUGAUUAUUAGUGUAGAAAUGUGUCUUAAUAACUGCACAGCAAAUUUUAAACUGCAAAAUGAACCCUUUAAUCAUCAUUAUACUAUCAAGGAGGCUGACACACACCCCGCCGCCCCCGCUGUAUAAUCUUCUUGUCCCGUCACAAAAAGGGACCCUGUCUGAGUGCAUGUUACAGACUCUGAUGUCAUACGGUGGUUAUACACACUGAAAACACUGGGUGUGUUACUACCUAUGUGGUGCUUGUUGGGCUGCAGUGCUCAGUGUGACCGACAGCUGCUGGUAGAUCUGGUGAACGGCCGUCUGGAUUUCAGUCUGGGGGCUCCUCUUCGCUGCUUUCACACCGUCCUGCAGAAAACAACAUGUACUGAUAUAAUAAGACAGCCCUCAGGACCUGCAGCCUGACGGACGUGAGCAGGGAAGACGACUGGAUCGAUCGGCGUUCCCUGGCUGGCUGCCCUUCUCCUGCAUGGUGGAGAUCGGGCGCCUCCGACCGCAGCUGAAGACGACAUGGGCCAGAAGUCAAGUGUCUGCUCCAACAGUGUGUUUCUUUUGCUGCUGAUCUCACAGAAUCAG